Molecule: long non-coding RNA, 931 nt
Filed under: Mytilus galloprovincialis (Mediterranean mussel)
Lineage: Eukaryota; Metazoa; Mollusca; Bivalvia; Mytilida; Mytilidae
Source: RNAcentral
GUAUUUUUUUUUUUUAUUGAAUUACAUAAUUUCAUGUACACUACAGUCACUAUGGAUUUUGCAAUGACCACUAUUCAACUCGUCCUCUUAAUGUUAAGAAACUAACAGUCAAUCAAUGUUCAAUGGUGCUGCAACAACACUCAUGAUAUUGUCUGAUAAAAUUCAGUUAAAAAAAAUAUGUCACGGCAUAUGCCUUCAUCUUACUUCCUAUACAUUUCUAGGAAUAUGAUUGGUUAAAAGCAACCGCGUGGAGACCGUGUAUAUUCCAUAUUAGGUUAGUUGGGAGGCGGGACUUAUUUCAACACGCGGUUAGUAGUGGGUGUUGAGGGAAAAUCUUUAAAGGUUACAACAGACAAUGCAAUCAUGAUGAUGAACGCUUGAAAUGAAUUAAUAAAACACAUUUAAAGCUAACAAGUAGUUGUUGUUGGCAUUUGUUUUUGUAUAGACCAAUGGAAGUAGGUUCUUAAUACUAACGGUAUUGAAGAGUUGGUUACUUUUAUAGGCCAUUAGUCUUAAUACCAAUGUUAAAAUAGUCGGUAAGAUAAAUUCGUUACAUAGUGUGCUAGUGACCUAAUACGAUAAAUAUGGGGUCAGAAAUUUUCAUAUGGGGAUUCGAGCAUCGCUCUCACACCAUAUGGAAUUUACUGACCCCAUAUAUAUCGUGUUAGGUCACUAGCACACUAUGUAACUAAUAAUACCUGUUAAUCAAUAUUUUCCAAUUUGAGUUACAAGGGAAGGGGGGUCCUGGAAAAAUCUAAUAGAAUUUGGUUUUCCAUCCUACAUUGAAUUUUUGAUGUGGACAGAUAUUUGAUAUGAAUGAAAUAAAUCAAACAUUAAUUGCAUUGUCAUAAUUUAUCCCGACAAUCAGGCUGAAGAGUGAAAAAACAUUUGUUAUAAAGUAUACUGACCGACCUUAGAAAUGCAAUACUAG